This 764-nucleotide ribosomal RNA is filed under the name uncultured Atopobium sp. Its description in RNAcentral is "bacterial SSU rRNA". It matches the Rfam family "Bacterial small subunit ribosomal RNA", at positions 67 to 847 of the family's 1533-position model. The record is from RNAcentral. Lineage: Bacteria; Bacillati; Actinomycetota; Coriobacteriia; Coriobacteriales; Atopobiaceae.
CGAUUAAAGCACCUUCGGGUGUGUAUAAAGUGGCGAACGGCUGAGUAACACGUGGGCAACCUGCCCCUCUCAUUGGGAUAGCCACGGGAAACCGUGGAUAAUACCGAAUACUUCGAGACUUCCGCAUGGAAGACUCGAGAAAGCUCCGGCGGAGAGGGAUGGGCCCGCGGCCUGUUAGCUUGUUGGUGGGGUAACGGCCUACCAAGGCAAUGAUGGGUAGCUGGGUUGAGAGACCGACCAGCCAGAUUGGGACUGAGACACGGCCCAGACUCCUACGGGAGGCAGCAGUGGGGAAUCUUGCACAAUGGGCGAAAGCCUGAUGCAGCGACGCCGCGUGCGGGAUGAAGGCCUUCGGGUUGUAACCGCUUUCAGCAGGGACGAGGCGAAAGUGACGGUACCUGCAGAAGAAGCCCCGGCUAACUACGUGCCAGCAGCCGCGGUAAUACGUAGGGGGCAAGCGUUAUCCGGAUUCAUUGGGCGUAAAGCGCUCGUAGGCGGUCUGUUAGGUCGGGAGUUAAAUCCGGGGGCUCAACCCCCGUUCGCUCCCGAUACCGGCAGACUUGAGUUUGGUAGGGGAAGGUGGAAUUCCUAGUGUAGCGGUGGAAUGCGCAGAUAUUAGGAAGAACACCAGUGGCGAAGGCGGCCUUCUGGGCCAUAACUGACGCUGAGGAGCGAAAGCUAGGGGAGCAAACAGGAUUAGAUACCCUGGUAGUCCUAGCCGUAAACGAUGGACACUAGGUGUGGGGGAAUAUUUCUUCCGUGCC